GACGAACGCUGGCGGCGUGCUUAACACAUGCAAGUCGAACGAUGAAGCUGUGCUUGCACAGUGGAUUAGUGGCGAACGGGUGAGUAACACGUGAGUAACCUGCCCUCCACUUUGGGAUAACUCCGAGAAAUCGGGGCUAAUACUGGAUAUGACUAUGGCCCGCAUGGGUUGUGGUGGAAAGUUUUUCGGUGGGGGAUGGGCUCGCGGCCUAUCAGUUUGUUGGUGAGGUAGUGGCUCACCAAGGCGAUGACGGGUAGCCGGCCUGAGAGGGCGACCGGCCACACUGGGACUGAGAUACGGCCCAGACUCCUACGGGAGGCAGCAGUGGGGAAUAUUGCACAAUGGGCGGAAGCCUGAUGCAGCAACGCCGCGCGCGGGAUGACGGCCUUCGGGUUGUAAACCGCUUUCGCCUGUGACGAAGCGUGAGUGACGGUAAUGGGUAAAGAAGCACCGGCUAACUACGUGCCAGCAGCCGCGGUGAUACGUAGGGUGCGAGCGUUGUCCGGAUUUAUUGGGCGUAAAGGGCUCGUAGGUGGUUGAUCGCGUCGGAAGUGUAAUCUUGGGGCUUAACCCUGAGCGUGCUUUCGAUACGGGUUGACUUGAGGAAGGUAGGGGAGAAUGGAAUUCCUGGUGGAGCGGUGGAAUGCGCAGAUAUCAGGAGGAACACCAGUGGCGAAGGCGGUUCUCUGGGCCUUUCCUGACGCUGAGGAGCGAAAGCGUGGGGAGCGAACAGGCUUAGAUACCCUGGUAGUCCACGCUGUAAACGGUGGGUACUAGGUGUGGGGUCCAUUCCACGGGUUCCGUGCCGUAGCUAACGCUUUAAGUACCCCGCCUGGGGAGUACGGCCGCAAGGCUAAAACUCAAAGGAAUUGACGGGGCCCCGCACAAGCGGCGGAGCAUGCGGAUUAAUUCGAUGCAACGCGUAGAACCUUACCUGGGUUUGACAUGGAUCGGGAGUGCUCAGAGAUGGGUGUGCCUCUUUUGGGGUCGGUUCACAGGUGGUGCAUGGCUGUCGUCAGCUCGUGUCGUGAGAUGUUGGGUUAAGUCCCGCAACGAGCGCAACCCUUGUUCACUGUUGCCAGCACGUUAUGGUGGGGACUCAGUGGAGACCGCCGGGGUCAACUCGGAGGAAGGUGGGGAUGACGUCAAGUCAUCAUGCCCCUUAUGUCCAGGGCUUCACGCAUGCUACAAUGGCUGGUACAGAGAGUGGCGAGCCUGUGAGGGUGAGCGAAUCUCGGAAAGCCGGCCUCAGUUCGGAUUGGGGUCUGCAACUCGACCUCAUGAAGUCGGAGUCGCUAGUAAUCGCAGAUCAGCAACGCUGCGGUGAAUACGAUCCCGGGGCU
This 1343-nucleotide ribosomal RNA is filed under the name uncultured bacterium. Its description in RNAcentral is "bacterial SSU rRNA". It matches the Rfam family "Bacterial small subunit ribosomal RNA", at positions 28 to 1381 of the family's 1533-position model. The record is from RNAcentral.